AGAGGUUCCGUCUAGGUCCUGCUGCUCACCACGGAGAAAGCCAGUUACUGAGACAAUGAGUAUUGCCAAGAAAGAAGGCUUUAAUUGGGUGCUGCAGCCAAGGAGAUGGGAGAUCAGUCUCAAAUCAAUCUCCCUGACCCACUAAAACUAGGGGUUUUAAUCAGCAGGGAAGAAAUGUAACAAUGUGUAAGAAAACAGGAACCCAGGAGGCCUAAGGAAGCAAUCAUAAUGAAUGAGGGGUCUGGCAUCUAACUGUCUGGAAGUGGUGAUCUGGUGAAUUUUAGUUCUUUGCCACUUUUUUUGAGAGGUAUGAAGGUUGGUUGUUUUCUGAGAAAAGGACUCAGAUAAAACAAAUAUAAAUUUCAAACUUUAAGACCAGAAGGGUCAAUUUCUACAUUUGCAACAAAAGGUCUAUGAGAUAUUUGGAUAAUCUCCUCGUAUUAGUUCGUUUUCAUGCUGCUGAUAAAGACAUACCCAAGACUGGACAAUUUACAAAAGAAAGAGGCUUAUCGGACUUACAGUUCCACAUGGCUGGGGAGGCCUCACAGUAACGGCAGAAGAUGCUGAACAGAUGCCAGUGCAAUGCUUUUGGUACUUCUCAGUCUGCAGAACUGGAGUUGAAAACAAGGCUACAGUCCGCAAGUCAUGAUACCACGAUAAACAUUUUAAAAGAGGAAAAUUUAAGAAAAUCCCAGUGUAUUCACCUAUGAAGUGUAAAGUCAUGAACAACCUGAGAACAAUGCAACUAUGGCACACAUUUAGACGCUGUUACGAGUAACAACAAAAAAGAAAUUUGCAGCGUUUGAAAUUAUAUUCAGUGUAACUUUUUGUACUUAUAUACACUACUACUGUAUACAUUUAAAAAAUUAAUGUCAUUAAUUUCCUGUAAAAAGCGAUUAUUUUUAAUUGGGCUAGUUUGCCUGCCAGGAAAACUUUCAUGUACAUUUUGUUGAUUCAAAUCAAUAAAAAUCCAGGAAUAAUGUGAGCUAAUUAUGCUUUAAAAUGUGAAUAUAAUAUUUGUAUCAUAACAGGAGAUCAAUAAAUGAUUGUUGCCUCUGACCUCUCUUUUCCCACCCAACACACACACAGUUACAUUUCCUACUUGAGCUCUGGAGUCCAUUGCUGGAGACAAAUUCAAACUGCAGUGUUGCCACUUCUGGCGUGUAACUUGGAAGAAUUCAUGUAACUCUUUGCAUACCAAUUUCUUCAUUAUAAAAUAGAAGCAAUAACACUUUCUCCAUAAUGUUAUCGCGAACAUUAAAAGACAUAAUACAUAAAAAUGCCUAGUACAGUACCAGGCAAGUAGUAAGCGACAGAUGUUAACUAUAUUAUCAUUCUUUUUAUUAUUACAAUCGGUAUCUAAUAUGUCACACAACUUCCUUCUCAACUUUAUUUUGUGUUGCUCAUUAUUACUUUCAACUAAUAAAAUGUCUAUGUGGGCAUG
Long non-coding RNA from Pan troglodytes (chimpanzee), 1444 nucleotides. RefSeq lists it as uncharacterized. NCBI's taxonomy places the organism in Eukaryota, Metazoa, Chordata, Mammalia, Primates, Hominidae. The transcript has 4 exons. The record is from RefSeq and is a predicted model, not a curated record.